UGGCGAACGGGUGAGUAACGCGUGAGGAACCUGCCUCAAAGAGGGGGACAACAGUUGGAAACGACUCCUAAUACCGCAUAAGCCCACGACCCGGCAUCGGGAAGAGGGAAAAGGAGCAAUCCGCUUUGAGAUGGCCUCGCGUCCGAUUAGCUAGUUGGUGAGGUAACGGCCCACCAAGGCGACGAUCGGUAGCCGGACUGAGAGGUUGAACGGCCACAUUGGGACUGAGACACGGCCCAG
This 240-nucleotide ribosomal RNA is filed under the name uncultured bacterium. RNAcentral's name for it is "partial 16S ribosomal RNA". It matches the Rfam family "Bacterial small subunit ribosomal RNA", at positions 96 to 334 of the family's 1533-position model. The record is from RNAcentral.